AUUGAACGCUGGCGGCAGGCUUAACACAUGCAAGUCGAGCGGGGUGAUGGUGCUUGCACUAUCACUUAGCGGCGGACGGGUGAGUAAUGCUUAGGAAUCUGCCUAUUAGUGGGGGACAACAUCUCGAAAGGGAUGCUAAUACCGCAUACGUCCUACGGGAGAAAGCAGGGGAUCACUUGUGACCUUGCGCUAAUAGAUGAGCCUAAGUCGGAUUAGCUAGUUGGUGGGGUAAAGGCCUACCAAGGCGACGAUCUGUAGCGGGUCUGAGAGGAUGAUGCACCACACUGGGACUGAGACACGGCCCAGACUCCUACGGGAGGCAGCAGUGGGGAAUAUUGGACAAUGGGGGGAACCCUGAUCCAGCCAUGCCGCGUGUGUGAAGAAGGCCUUAUGGUUGUAAAGCACUUUAAGCGAGGAGGAGGCUCUUUUGGUUAAUACCCAAGAUGAGUGGACGUUACUCGCAGAAUAAGCACCGGCUAACUCUGUGCCAGCAGCCGCCGUAA
This 503-nucleotide ribosomal RNA is filed under the name uncultured bacterium. Its description in RNAcentral is "partial 16S ribosomal RNA". It matches the Rfam family "Bacterial small subunit ribosomal RNA", at positions 30 to 523 of the family's 1533-position model. The record is from RNAcentral.